CACACUCGCAUUUUGAAUCACCAAGGACUUCGGCGGCGUGCUAAUGACAACUACUCUAUUCAACAGAGUGUUAACCAUAGAGGAAGAGUCCCACAUGCUUUGAAUGAUGAUGCACUGGCUCAUGCACUAAUGGAUAGCAAUUGCCCAACAGAGGGCCUUGAAAAUUUUGAUGAGUGGACCAUUGAUUUGAGGAAGCUUAAUAUGGGUACAGCUUUUGCACAAGGUGCAUUUGGGAAACUCUACAGAGGAACUUACAA
RNAcentral lists this unclassified non-coding RNA (257 nucleotides) under Hevea brasiliensis (rubber tree). The record is from RNAcentral. Lineage: Eukaryota; Viridiplantae; Streptophyta; Magnoliopsida; Malpighiales; Euphorbiaceae.